GAACAGUGUUUCAUCUUUGUAUAUCAACAUUUUCAGUAUUCUGCCUGCUCUUUGGAUGCAGCUUCACCCUCGUAUAUCAGUACUGUCUGAUUUCUGCCUGCUAUUUGGACAGGACAUAAGCAUUAACUUUAUUUCAACUACAGUGUAAUAUUUGGGAAUUGUUUUAUUAGCCAUGUGGGUGCAGUGACUGAUACUUGUGUCUGCUUGUGAGUAACUCCCCCUUAUUUUCUGUCCUUGCUCAGCCAUGCUGAAACUGCGCACAGAUGUGAGGCCAACAGCAGCGACAGAAAGGCUUUGUCAACACCAGCAAAUCACUGAAUCUACCUCUACAAGAGUAGUCUGAAGUGAUUAGAAGGUCCAUGGGAAUGGAAGCUUUCAGAAGGAGGAAGGGUCAGGUCUGUCUUGGAGAACUCAUCCCCACAGAAGCAAGAGGGAGGCUGCGCCAGUAACUCCUGUGGGAGGUCUAGCUGGGAAGCCAUCUUUGGCAGCACAGCCCUACCCCAGGAUUUCAGCCCAUCACAAGGACUAGCUCGGCUCCUGCCUCUAGUGCUUCAGUCUGCUUGAAAACUCAGACAUCAAUAAGGCAGUUAAGGUAGGUGAUAUCGUUAGGUAUUAUUUACCUGUUAAGGUUAAGGCACAUCUUCCUUUUCUGUGAAAAUCAAACUCCUUUU
Molecule: long non-coding RNA, 671 nt
Filed under: Coturnix japonica (Japanese quail)
Lineage: Eukaryota; Metazoa; Chordata; Aves; Galliformes; Phasianidae
Description: lncRNA (ENSCJPG00005017498.1)
Source: RNAcentral